AAAAGGUGACUGAACACAUUAAAUUUGUGUUACUGGGGAAGCAGUUUAGGUACAACAAAUCAGGCUCCAGACGUCUAUACAGUACAUUGGUGGAUUCAAAGAACAGUCCCAUUUAUGUAAAUCAAACCCUUGACCUCCCUCUGGAUACUUUAUCUUGGCUGAACAAUCUAUCUUGUGUAUGACCUCAGAUCAGACCCUGGAUAUUCUCUGACGUCUCAUCCCUCGGUACCACGCUUCUCGGACUGAUAUAACGUGUAUGAACUUUGGCCUGGUCACGGACUACUUCCCUGAUCUCUCCCUGCAGAGGUUCUUAUUCGGCUUGAUUACUUGUGUAUGAUCACUGGCUUUUGACUGAAUUAUC
Bufo bufo (common toad) is the source of this 361-nucleotide long non-coding RNA. RefSeq lists it as uncharacterized. Lineage: Eukaryota; Metazoa; Chordata; Amphibia; Anura; Bufonidae. The record is from RefSeq and is a predicted model, not a curated record. The transcript has 3 exons.